UUCUGUGCACUACUUAGAUAGGAAACACGCGGUCCAUUCUCUUAUGUCGAUGGGUAGCAGUAGCAGCCAGUAAGGCAACAUGGAUUCCGUGGCAAACCUCGUUAAGGUUUCAGUUCCAAAUUAUUUGGCUGGAUUACCGAUUCCAUCGUCGAUCGGAGGAUGGUUUCGACUGGGAGUUCGCGACUGGUUAUCACUGAUACCGCCAACUGCCCUGAUGGCCGGAAUCGGUUUCAUGUCAUACAGGGCGUUUUGCCCUCAUGGAAGGCCACCGCCCUCCAGUCACAUAAAUCCUAAGAUAAAGAAGGACUCCGCCAAGGUUGUCGACUCCAUCGAUGUAGAAGAUAUUACUGAAAAAGCUGUUAUGUGCCGCUGCUGGCGGAGUGAGAAUUGGCCGUACUGCGACGGCGCUCACGGACGGCACAAUAAGGAAACCUGUGACAACGUAGGACCUCUUGUUAUCACAAAGAAGAAUUAGGGACUUUUUAACAAAGUACUGAAAAUCAAGGCCCAUUACGCACAGGGACAUGCGAACAGUAUAUCUCAUCAUACAAGUCAUUGCAACUGAUCAAUCAGAUUGACCAGAAUUAUAAAGAGAGAGUUGCCAAAUACAGGGAAGAGACUUAAUCACUAUAUUCAGCGAGAAAUCUUCGAAAUUAUCAUUUUACGCAACUGAGUUUACUAGUUGUCAUAAUAUCAUCAGAAAAACUGUACACGUAAGAAAUGAACGGACGAAAUUUGUAAAUUUUUUGAUAUUCAUUGUUGUCUUCUAUUUUUGUUGCGAAGUAUCCUAGAAAAGUUGUAUAUCUGCUGUAUUAAUUUAUGAAUAAAUCAGAAUAUAUUCAAUA
RNAcentral lists this unclassified non-coding RNA (845 nucleotides) under Neodiprion lecontei (redheaded pine sawfly). Its description in RNAcentral is "cDGSH iron-sulfur domain-containing protein 2 homolog, transcript variant X2". Lineage: Eukaryota; Metazoa; Arthropoda; Insecta; Hymenoptera; Diprionidae. The record is from RNAcentral.